RNAcentral lists this ribosomal RNA (648 nucleotides) under Aleurodiscus ryvardenii. RNAcentral describes it as "eukaryotic LSU rRNA". The stretch from base 231 to 384 matches the Rfam family "5.8S ribosomal RNA". The record is from RNAcentral. Lineage: Eukaryota; Fungi; Basidiomycota; Agaricomycetes; Russulales; Stereaceae.
UCACUCCCGUCAUGCGAUCUAUCUGUAAUGACUUUCAGGACGAUCGAGAGUUGUAGCUGGCCCCUUCCCGGGCAUGUGCACGCCUCUUUCGAGAAAUCCAUCAAACCCCUGUGCACCUUUGCGUGAGUGGUCCCGGGCAACCGGGGGCCCUCGCGUCUUUUUUCUCACAAACCCCUUUGUAUGUCUUUAAAAGAAUGUACUACUCGAUGUGAUAAAAAAACAUCUAAUACAACUUUCAACAACGGAUCUCUUGGCUCUCGCAUCGAUGAAGAACGCAGCGAAAUGCGAUAAGUAAUGUGAAUUGCAGAAUUCAGUGAAUCAUCGAAUCUUUGAACGCACCUUGCGCCCUUUGGUAUUCCGAAGGGCACACCUGUUUGAGUGUCGUGAAAUUCUCAACCCCUCCUCGCUUUGUUGCGACGCGUUGGGGCUUGGACUUGGAGGUUCUUGCUGGUCUCCGCCGGCUCCUCUCAAAUGCAUUAGUACGCCUCGUUGCGAUGUGGCUGCCUCGGUGUGAUAAUUAUCUACGCCGUGUUGUGGUGCAUUGCUUUCCUUCGUGCUUCAAACCGUCCGUGAAGGACACUUUUGAAACUUGACCUCAAAUCAGGUGGGACUACCCGCUGAACUUAAGCAUAUCAAUAAGCGGAGGAA